This 553-nucleotide ribosomal RNA is filed under the name Priestia aryabhattai. RNAcentral's name for it is "bacterial SSU rRNA". It matches the Rfam family "Bacterial small subunit ribosomal RNA", at positions 61 to 596 of the family's 1533-position model. The record is from RNAcentral. Lineage: Bacteria; Bacillati; Bacillota; Bacilli; Caryophanales; Bacillaceae.
GUCGAGCGACUGAUUAGAAGCUUGCUUCUAUGACGUUAGCGGCGGACGGGUGAGUAACACGUGGGCAACCUGCCUGUAAGACUGGGAUAACUUCGGGAAACCGAAGCUAAUACCGGAUAGGAUCUUCUCCUUCAUGGGAGAUGAUUGAAAGAUGGUUUCGGCUAUCACUUACAGAUGGGCCCGCGGUGCAUUAGCUAGUUGGUGAGGUAACGGCUCACCAAGGCAACGAUGCAUAGCCGACCUGAGAGGGUGAUCGGCCACACUGGGACUGAGACACGGCCCAGACUCCUACGGGAGGCAGCAGUAGGGAAUCUUCCGCAAUGGACGAAAGUCUGACGGAGCAACGCCGCGUGAGUGAUGAAGGCUUUCGGGUCGUAAAACUCUGUUGUUAGGGAAGAACAAGUACGAGAGUAACUGCUCGUACCUUGACGGUACCUAACCAGAAAGCCACGGCUAACUACGUGCCAGCAGCCGCGGUAAUACGUAGGUGGCAAGCGUUAUCCGGAAUUAUUGGGCGUAAAGCGCGCGCAGGCGGUUUCUUAAGUCUGAUGUG